GGAUCGGAAAAUCCUUGUCUCUGGGCCACCCACCCGUGUCUCAUGCUUCAAUGGGAAACUCGGGAGAUUAGUACUUGCUUCCGCCACAGGUUCAACUAUUUCGCCUUCUUCGAUGUCACGGCGCAGCGAUUGGGAAUUCGUUCCGGAGUCCGAGGCGUAAAUCGACAGAACGUUUUCUCGUUCCUCCUCGCUGGCGACCUGCUGGCUCCAAGGUCUUCGGUCAAUGGGCUCUUCGUCGAUGUGCAAUGUGGUAUGGUGCUUAUCGUGGCAUCGACGGCAUCGAUCCCGGCUGGUGCACCUUUGUACGCGAUGCGUCAUUGAUAGGCAAUUGCUGCAAAACCGCCCGAGCAGAGACUCUCGCAAUCGUUCUUCCGGGGCCUUUGCCCGAUAUACCGGGCAUAAUCUGAUCGGGUGCUUACCAUCGCAAAGUCGGCACGCUAUCGGAUAACGAUGAGUGCGGCGUUCCGCUUUCUUUCUUAGCAUUGUAUAGCGAGUCAUUAUUACCUGAAAAUGGUUAUUUUGUCGAUGUUUCGAUCGUAAAGUCAUUGCUAUUAUUGAUAUUUAUUCUUAAUAUCAUGGUACUUAUGGUUGGGUGGCGAGAAUUACAUCAUAUAAUUAUAGAACCGUGAAUUGGCAUAUAUUACUUGCGCGCUCUAAACCCACGUUGGUGUUGGUCUAUGAUUGACGUGUUCAAUUGGUCGUGUAAGGGGUGCAUAAUAUUGCAAUAUUAUCCGAGCAUAUGAAGAUUGUGUUUGCUCCUUUAUAUACAUCUAGCGAUAAAUUUUUAUCGAUUUUGAAAGUUACACCCAUCAGUGAGCUGUCAUACUCUAGUAAGAUACACGGACUAUUAAUAUUGUAAACAAAGCGUAUUAACUACAAUUCAUAGUGAUAAGGCCAUGCUUCUGCGAUUGAGCAUAGUUAUGUAUGUUCAAUGAUACGUCUGUAGUGCUCGUGGUUGUGUUCUAUGUUGAUUGGAUGUGUUUGUGUGAGGCAAGUGAGCAGUAGAUGUCGCCGUUAAAAAGAUGCAUGUUGCCACAUACUCUAGGGGCGAGAAAUUUUACACUAAUAUCGUAAACUUCUGUACCUAACUUGGCAACAUCCUUCGAAUGAAAGGAAAUGUCAUUCAUAAUUUUCCACGAGGCCAACCGGUCCCAAACGAACAAAGGCUAAAAAGUACGUUUUACCCCUUCUCAAAAGAAAAACAGCAGAUCGAAUUCCUCAGCAAUGAGCGUAGUUAAAUAUAUUGGUCGUACAACUGAUUUUCGCGGUAAGACACUGUGGGAGAUUGUGGGAAAUCUGCGGGACUUUGGUGUUGGCCGGCUCGUAAUACGUAACAAAUUCCAACGAUAUGAGGAGCCCUGCUAUAUGCGUAUACUUAAGGUGGAAGUUACUCCACAUGAUCCUGAAAAGGACCCUAUUCGUACAGGUCCCAAACGAACAAAGGCCAAAAAGUGGAGCUACGAAAAGGUUUGCACUCUUCCAAAAAAUGAGAUUAAACGCGCAAAAUUUCGGUAUAGUUGGUCGUUCUUUGGCAAAACUAGUUAUUUAUAUACCUGCUGUUUUAAAUUACUAAUUAUUUACGUAUUAAUUACACGUAAGAAAUGCAGUGUUUACAAAAAUAUUGCGGCUCGCCGAACAGA
This 1640-nucleotide long non-coding RNA is filed under the name Rhagoletis pomonella (apple maggot). RNAcentral's name for it is "uncharacterized LOC118740358, transcript variant X2". The record is from RNAcentral. Lineage: Eukaryota; Metazoa; Arthropoda; Insecta; Diptera; Tephritidae.